UGAGGAAUAUUGGUCAAUGGGCGGGAGCCUGAACCAGCCAAGCCGCGUGAGGGAAGAAGGCCCUAUGGGUCGUAAACCUCUUUUGUCAGGGAACAAAAGCGAGUAUGUAUACUAGUCUGAGUGUACCUGAAGAAAAAGCAUCGGCUAACUCCGUGCCAGCAGCCGCGGUAAUACGGAGGAUGCGAGCGUUAUCCGGAUUUAUUGGGUUUAAAGGGUGCGUAGGCGGCGAUGCAAGUCAGCGGUAAAAGCCCGGGGCUCAACCCCGGCGAGCCGUUGAAACUGCAGUGCUAGAGAAGGCGAGAGGUACGCGGAAUGCGCAGUGUAGCGGUGAAAUGCUUAGAUAUCACGCAGAACUCCGAUUGCGAAGGCAGCAUACCGGCGCUCAACUGACGCUCAGGCACGAAAGCGUGGGUAUCGAACAGGAUUAGAUACC
Molecule: ribosomal RNA, 433 nt
Filed under: uncultured bacterium
Lineage: Bacteria
Description: bacterial SSU rRNA
Rfam family: Bacterial small subunit ribosomal RNA
Source: RNAcentral